Molecule: ribosomal RNA, 425 nt
Filed under: uncultured bacterium
Lineage: Bacteria
Description: partial 16S ribosomal RNA
Rfam family: Bacterial small subunit ribosomal RNA
Source: RNAcentral
GUGGGGAAUCUUGCGCAAUGGGCGAAAGCCUGACGCAGCCAUGCCGCGUGGAUGAUGAAGGUCUUAGGAUUGUAAAAUCCUUUCACCGGUGAAGAUAAUGACUGUAGCCGGAGAAGAAGCCCCGGCUAACUUCGUGCCAGCAGCCGCGGUAAUACGAAGGGGGCUAGCGUUGCUCGGAUUUACUGGGCGUAAAGGGCGCGUAGGCGGACAUUUAAGUCAGGGGUGAAAUCCCGGGGCUCAACCUCGGAACUGCCUUUGAUACUGGGUGUCUUGAGUUUGGGAGAGGUGAGUGGAACUCCGAGUGUAGAGGUGAAAUUCGUAGAUAUUCGGAAGAACACCAGUGGCGAAGGCGACUCACUGGCCCAAUACUGACGCUGAGGCGCGAAAGCGUGGGGAGCAAACAGGAUUAGAUACCCUGGUAGUCC